This is a non-coding RNA of Lupinus angustifolius (narrow-leaved blue lupine), 119 nucleotides long. The record is from Rfam. Lineage: Eukaryota; Viridiplantae; Streptophyta; Magnoliopsida; Fabales; Fabaceae.
AGGUGUGAUCCUACCAGCACAAAUGCACAUGAUCUCAUCAGAACUCCGCAGAUAAGCGUGCUUUGGCGAGAGUACUACUAGGAUGGGUGACCUCUUGGGAAGUCCUUGUGUUGCACCUC